UCCCGCCGGACCUGACUGCUAUCGGAUUGAUACUAAGCCAUGCGAGUCUUUGUAGUAAUACAAGGCAGACGGCUCAGUAACACGUAGUCAACCUACCCUAUGGACAAGAAUAAUCUCGGGAAACUGGGCAUAAUUCUUGAUAGAUCAUAAUGCCUGGAAUGGUUUAUGGUUAAAAUGAUUCGUCGCCAUAGGAUGGGACUGCGGCCUAUCAGCUUGUUGGUGAGGUAAUGGCCCACCAAGGCGAUUACAGGUACGGGCUCUGAGAGGAGAAGCCCGGAGAUGGGUACUGAGACACGGACCCAGGCCCUAUGGGGCGCAGCAGGCGAGAAAACUUUGCAAUGUGCGAAAGCACGACAAGGUUAAUCCGAGUGAUUUCUGCUAAAGAAAUCUUUUACCAGUCAUAAAACCGCUGGUGAAUAAGGGGUGGGCAAGUUCUGGUGUCAGCCGCCGCGGUAAAACCAGCACCUCAAGUGGUCAGGAUGAUUAUUGGGCCUAAAGCAUCCGUAGCCGGCUUUGUAAGUUUUCGGUUAAAUCCAUGUGCUCAACGCAUGGGCUGCCGAAAAUACUGCAUAGCUAGGGAGUGGGAGAGGUAGACGGUACUCAGUAGGUAGGGGUAAAAUCCUCUGAUCUAUUGAUGACCACCUGUGGCGAAGGCGGUCUACCAGAACACGUUCGACGGUGAGGGAUGAAAGCUGGGGGAGCAAACCGGAUUAGAUACCCGGGUAGUCCCAGCUGUAAACGAUGCAGACUAGAUGAUGCAUUGGCAUAAUAGCCAUUGCAGUGUCUCAGGGAAGCCGUUAAGUCUGCCGCCUGGGAAGUACGUACGCAAGUAUGAAACUU
This 840-nucleotide ribosomal RNA is filed under the name uncultured marine group I thaumarchaeote. RNAcentral's name for it is "SSU rRNA". It matches the Rfam family "Archaeal small subunit ribosomal RNA", at positions 12 to 857 of the family's 1478-position model. The record is from RNAcentral. Lineage: Archaea; Thermoproteati; Nitrososphaerota.